Sabethes cyaneus is the source of this 180-nucleotide long non-coding RNA. RefSeq lists it as uncharacterized. The transcript is spliced from 3 exons. The record is from RefSeq and is a predicted model, not a curated record. Lineage: Eukaryota; Metazoa; Arthropoda; Insecta; Diptera; Culicidae.
GACUCGCGACGUGAUUGGAAGUAAAGAUAGGCAGUGAUAGAACAUUUCGCUUUUUGAAAGUGCUACCCGUGUGCGACCGCAGUUCGUGCCUGCAAGUGUGCUGCGAGAGAUUCGCCACGGAACACGUCAUCGACAUCCUGCUACAUUGUCAGCGACUUCUUCUGACCCCACCGUCAGCUC